GCGACCAUGAACUAUUGAUUUGCAUGAGUAGAAAUUUUGCCAGGUGUACUGUAAGUGUAUUCUUUGUUUGUGGACAAUACUGCUAUUUGAUUUUUUGUUAAAGGAUAGGUAUUCCAACUCCCCUUCUUAUUCUGAAUUUUUAGAAAUGCAUUCUUUUACUCCACGGUCCACGCUCAUACUGAUAUGCUCCUCACUACCUGAUGUGCUCAUAGGCAAGAAAUGUGUAGUUAGUUGACAGGUUCAUCUGAGAACCUGCCACUCCCAUUUGUUAUAUCUUUGGCAAGCAACCAUCGUUGGAAAUAUUUUACAUCAUACGAAGUGCAAAGUGAAGUAGACAAGCAGAACUUGUGGUUUAUUUUAUGUACAUCUGCUCAAAAUCAAAGUGAAGUACAGCAGUUGCUGAUGAGUGCAGCACCUGUUGUUUUCUUCACAGAGAAAUUGAGCUGGACAGGACUUUAAAGAGAGACUGAGAUUACUCCUUUAACAUAUGAGUGGAAUUGCUCUUGAAUUCUGACCAAUAUUUUAGGAUGUAAUCCACUCGCAUUGUGGUUGCCUAGAUGAUAAUUCCCCAAGAAGCUUCCUACUACAGUGAGU
This is a long non-coding RNA of Lolium rigidum, 594 nucleotides long. RefSeq lists it as uncharacterized. The transcript is spliced from 3 exons. NCBI's taxonomy places the organism in Eukaryota, Viridiplantae, Streptophyta, Magnoliopsida, Poales, Poaceae. The record is from RefSeq and is a predicted model, not a curated record.